RNAcentral lists this ribosomal RNA (469 nucleotides) under uncultured bacterium. Its description in RNAcentral is "partial 16S ribosomal RNA". It matches the Rfam family "Bacterial small subunit ribosomal RNA", at positions 28 to 507 of the family's 1533-position model. The record is from RNAcentral.
GACGAACGCUGGCGGCGUGCUUAACACAUGCAAGUCGAACGGAAAGGCCCUGCUUGCAGGGUGCUCGAGUGGCGAACGGGUGAGUAACACGUGGGUGAUCUGCCCCUUACUUUGGGAUAAGCCUGGGAAAUUGGGUCUAAUACUGGAUAGGACCAUGCUGUAGGUGGUGUGGUGGAAAGAUUAGUUUCGGUAAGGGAUGAGCUCGCGGCCUAUCAGCUUGUUGGUGGGGUAAUGGCCUACCAAGGCGUCGACGGGUAGCCGGCCUGAGAGGGUGGACGGCCACAUUGGGACUGAGAUACGACCCAGACUCCUACGGGAGGCAGCAGUGGGGAAUAUUGCACAAUGGGCGCAAGCCUGAUGCAGCGACGCCGCGUGGGGGAUGACGGCCUUCGGGUUGUAAACUCCUUUCAGCCAUGACGAAGCCCUUGUGGUGACGGUAGUGGUAGAAGAAGCACCGGCUAACUACGUG